Molecule: long non-coding RNA, 319 nt
Filed under: Heterocephalus glaber (naked mole-rat)
Lineage: Eukaryota; Metazoa; Chordata; Mammalia; Rodentia; Bathyergidae
Description: lncRNA (ENSHGLG00100049886.1)
Source: RNAcentral
AUUAAAGAGCAAGUAAAAUCCUUGCAGUGUGGCUGGGGUAAAAGACAGACAGGAGAAACCAAGAAAAUGAGCCUCAAAGGCCUCUGGAAUAUUUAAACCUUCCUUCAGAGAACUCAGUGCAAAGAUCUGCUUCAAGGAUUUAAUUUUUAAGAAGGUUUUGAUAAAGGUAACAUGAAAAACACUGUGUAUGAAGGUAGCUGUGUCCUCAACCAUGCCCUUCUAGUUGCAGUGUGCCAGUCUGCUGUGAGAUGGGUGCCUCUCCAAACCUGUUGUCUCAGUUGAAGCAGGACGCGUAGAGUUGAUUAUUGCAUUAUUGCCA